CAGGUGAAGUCAAUGAUCCCAUGCUGCCAAGAAAAGCCUCUAGCGAGCUUCGAGCGGCCCGUACCCCAAACCGACACAGGUGGUCAGGUAGAGAAUACCGAGGCGAUCGGGCGAACUGUGGUUAAGGAACUCGGCAAAUUACCCCCGUAACUUCGGGAGAAGGGGGGCCACAGACUGUCAUACCCCACGCGGGUGGCAGCAGUAGGUGGCCGCAGAGACCAGGGGGAAGCGACUGUUUACUAAAAACACAGGUCCGUGCGAAGUCGUAAGACGAUGUAUACGGACUGACGCCUGCCCGGUGCUGGAACGUUAAGGGGACCGGUUAGUCCGCAAGGGCGAAGCUGAGAACUUAAGCGCCAGUAAACGGCGGUGGUAACUAUAACCAUCCUAAGGUAGCGAAAUUCCUUGUCGGGUAAGUUCCGACCUGCACGAAUGGCGUAACGACUUCCCUACUGUCUCAACCACAGACCCGGCGAAAUUGCACUACGAGUAAAGAUGCUCGUUACGCGCGGAAGGACGGAAAGACCCCGGGACCUUCGCUAUAGCUUGACAUUGGUAUCCGAAUUUAAUUGUGUAGGAUAGGUGGGAGGCUUUGAUCCGCGGACGCCAGUCCGUCGGGGAGCCAACGUUGAAAUACCACUCUGUUGACUUUGGGUAUCUAACUUCGGACCGUGAUCCGGUUCAGGGACAGUGUCUGGUGGGUAGUUUAACUGGGGCGGUUGCCUCCUAAAAUGUAACGGAGGCGCCCAAAGGUUCCCUCAGCCUGGUUGGCAAUCAGGUGUUGAGUGCAAGUGCACAAGGGAGCUUGACUGUGAGACUGACAGGUCGAGCAGGGACGAAAGUCGGGACUAGUGAUCCGGCACCUGCGAGUGGAAGCGGUGUCGCUCAACGGAUAAAAGGUACCCCGGGGAUAACAGGCUGAUCUUCCCCAAGAGUCCAUAUCGACGGGAUGGUUUGGCACCUCGAUGUCGGCUCGUCGCAUCCUGGGGCUGGAGUAGGUCCCAAGGGUUGGGCUGUUCGCCCAUUAAAGCGGCACGCGAGCUGGGUUUAGAACGUCGUGAGACAGUUCGGUCCCUAUCCUCCGCGCGCGUAGGAGACUUGAGAAGAGCUGUCCCUAGUACGAGAGGACCGGGACGGACGAACCUCUGGUGUGCCAGUUGUCAUGCCAAUGGCACGGCUGGUUAGCUACGUUCGGAAGGGAUAACCGCUGAAAGCAUCUAAGCGGGAAGCUCGCUUCAAGAUGAGGUCUCCCACCCCUUAGAGGGUUAAGGCCCCCAGCUAGACCACUGGGUUGAUAGGCCAGAAGUGUAAGCCUGGUAACAGGUUCAGCCGACUGGUACUAAUAGGCCGAGGACUCCG
RNAcentral lists this ribosomal RNA (1359 nucleotides) under metagenome. RNAcentral's name for it is "bacterial LSU rRNA". It matches the Rfam family "Bacterial large subunit ribosomal RNA", at positions 1582 to 2925 of the family's 2925-position model. The record is from RNAcentral.